Molecule: ribosomal RNA, 467 nt
Filed under: uncultured bacterium
Lineage: Bacteria
Description: partial 16S ribosomal RNA
Rfam family: Bacterial small subunit ribosomal RNA
Source: RNAcentral
GACGAACGCUGGCGGCGUGCUUAACACAUGCAAGUCGAACGGAAAGGCCCUGCUUUUGUGGGGUGCUCGAGUGGCGAACGGGUGAGUAACACGUGAGUAACCUGCCCUUGACUUUGGGAUAACUUCAGGAAACUGGGGCUAAUACCGGAUAGGAGCUCCUGCUGCAUGGUGGGGGUUGGAAAGUUUCGGCGGUUGGGGAUGGACUCGCGGCUUAUCAGCUUGUUGGUGGGGUAGUGGCUUACCAAGGCUUUGACGGGUAGCCGGCCUGAGAGGGUGACCGGCCACAUUGGGACUGAGAUACGGCCCAGACGGCUACGGGAGGCAGCAGUGGGGAAUAUUGCACAAAGGGCGGAAGCCGGAUGCAGCAACGCCGCGUGCGGGAUGACGGCCUUCGGGUUGUAAACCGCUUUCGCCUGUGACGAAGCGUGAGUGACGGUAAUGGGUAAAGAAGCACCGGCGAACUACGU